RNAcentral lists this ribosomal RNA (425 nucleotides) under uncultured bacterium. RNAcentral's name for it is "partial 16S ribosomal RNA". It matches the Rfam family "Bacterial small subunit ribosomal RNA", at positions 354 to 796 of the family's 1533-position model. The record is from RNAcentral.
GUGGGGAAUAUUGGGCAAUGGGCGAAAGCCUGACCCAGCAACGCCGCGUGAAGGAAGAAGGUCUUCGGAUCGUAAACUUCUAUCCUUGGUGAAGAUAAUGACGGUAGCCGAGAAGGAAGCCCCGGCUAACUACGUGCCAGCAGCCGCGGUAAUACGUAGGGGGCAAGCGUUGUCCGGAAUGAUUGGUCGUAAAGGGCGCGUAGGCGGCCUGGUGAGUCUGGAGUGAAAGUCCUGCGUUUAAGAUGGGAAUUGCUUUGGAUACUGUCGGGCUGGAGUGCAGGAGAGGUAAGUGGAAUUCCCGGUGUAGCGGUGAAAUGCGUAGAGAUCGGGAGGAACACCAGUGGCGAAGGCGACUUACUGGACUGUAACUGACGCUGAGGCGCGAAAGUGUGGGGAGCAAACAGGAUUAGAUACCCCGGUAGUCC